Long non-coding RNA from Centrocercus urophasianus (Greater sage-grouse), 518 nucleotides. RefSeq lists it as uncharacterized. Lineage: Eukaryota; Metazoa; Chordata; Aves; Galliformes; Phasianidae. The transcript has 2 exons. The record is from RefSeq and is a predicted model, not a curated record.
CCGGGGCCGGCCCUGAGGCCCUGACCGCAGCACGAAGUCUUUGGGACAGCAGCAGCGUGCAGCGGGCUUCCAUCCCCCCGAAAAAGAAACCCAGAGGGAUCCGUGAUGGGAAGAGCACCGGGUUGCUGCCGGUAACGAGGAAAUGAGAUCACAGGGCGAGCACAGAGUGUGGGAGGAGACAGCUUUCUGCUUGUGGUCUACCGGAAUACACAGAGCAAAUCUCCGUUUGGCCUUCUGACUGCACAGCACGCAGGAACGUGCGGGUGUGUGAACCAAAAGGCAGCUGCACUGUGAGCCCAUCGCCUUGGGAGCGGAUCCGAACGGUCACAUCUGAACCUGUGACACCAAGAGGAGGAGAGGAGCAUGCAUCAGUGCUGCCCAUUGCUCAGGAACAGCCCCAUCUCUGCUCCCUGCAGCUAAGCAUGCCUCUGCAGGCUUUCAUCAGCAGGUUUGCCCAGGUCUUACCAUUUCACUUUCACAUUUUGCGUGAGGAUGUAAUUAAAAAAAUGCAAAAAUCA